GAUGAACGCUGGCGGCGUGCCUAAUACAUGCAAGUCGAGCGAACAGACGAGGAGCUUGCUCCUCUGACGUUAGCGGCGGACGGGUGAGUAACACGUGGAUAACCUACCUAUAAGACUGGGAUAACUUCGGGAAACCGGAGCUAAUACCGGAUAAUAUAUUGAACCGCAUGGUUCAAUAGUGAAAGACGGUUUUGCCGUCACUUAUAGAUGGAUCCGCGCCGCAUUAGCUAGUUGGUAAGGUAACAGCUUACCAAGGCAACGAUGCGUAGCCGACCUGAGAGGGUGAUAGGCCACACUGGAGCGGAGACACGGUCCAGACUCCUACGGGAGGCAGCAGUAGGGAAUCUUCCGCAAUGGGCGAAAGCCUGACGGAGCAACGCCGCGUGAGUGAUGAAGGUCUUCGGAUCGUAAAACUCUGUUAUUAGGGAAGAACAAAUGUGUAAGUAACUAUGCACGUCUUGACGGUACCUAAUCAGAAAGCCACGGCUAACUACGUG
This 497-nucleotide ribosomal RNA is filed under the name uncultured bacterium. Its description in RNAcentral is "partial 16S ribosomal RNA". It matches the Rfam family "Bacterial small subunit ribosomal RNA", at positions 28 to 507 of the family's 1533-position model. The record is from RNAcentral.